Molecule: long non-coding RNA, 482 nt
Organism: Danio aesculapii
Lineage: Eukaryota; Metazoa; Chordata; Actinopteri; Cypriniformes; Danionidae
Exons: 3
Source: RefSeq, a predicted model, not a curated record
AAUAUUGUAGGAAAGAACACUAAUUAUUAUUUUAGCAUAAUUAUUUUUGUGGAAUUUUAAAGAGACUCUGAGUUUGUUUAAAGACUUUGUAUAAACUUUCAACAGGUGCUGCAAUUGGCUCGAAUCGGAGGAAAGGAUGUGAGGGACUGCGUAUAUAAAGUCCUUGACAGGCUCUUCAGUAAUCGUCUCAUGUCCCAUUUCAACAUGAAGGGAAAGGGGGACAAGGUGGCCCUUGAGACCUCCAACAUUUACAGAGCAAUGAAAGCUGCAGUAAUGAAAUGGAGCAAGGAUGCUACAGAAGAAAAUAUAAAAAAUCAUGCAUCCGAGCACCUGAAGCAUGCACCAGCAAGAAAGGGAGGAGCCGGACACAGAAAAUAAUUUUUCUGUGCAAUACUUCCAAAAAAAUCCUUCAUCUGAGAGUUUAAAUAUUAAUUUUUCGGCUGAACUGUCCCUUUAAUGCAAGUUUCUGGUCUUAUUGUGAA